CAGUAGCCGCGGUAAUACGAGGGGGGCGAGCGUUGUUCGGAAUUAUUGGGCGUAAAGGGCGCGUAGGCGGUUUGACAAGUCUCAUGUGAAAUCUUCGGGCUCAACUCGAAGUCUGCAUGGGAAACUGUCGGGCUUGAGUAUGGGAGAGGUGAGUGGAAUUUCCGGUGUAGCGGUGAAAUGCGUAGAUAUCGGAAGGAACACCUGUGGCGAAAGCGGCUCACUGGACCAUAACUGACGCUGAGGCGCGAAAGCUAGGGGAGCAAACAGGAUUAGAGACCCCGGUAGUCCCUGUCUCUUAUAC
This 301-nucleotide ribosomal RNA is filed under the name uncultured bacterium. RNAcentral describes it as "partial 16S ribosomal RNA". It matches the Rfam family "Bacterial small subunit ribosomal RNA", at positions 509 to 807 of the family's 1533-position model. The record is from RNAcentral.